UAAUUGAAUAAUUUAACGAUUUCCCCUUCCUAUUUGAUAUUGAUUAGCUCACCAAUCCAUAUGUAAUGGAACUCUAUUUGCUUUUCUGAUUGAUAUAUAAAAUAAUAGAAUUAGGAAAUCCUCUAUUUACUAUAUCACUGAAUAAUAACUUUUUUGUUGACAAAAGAAUAAAGAUCAUUUCUAUUCCAAGGUGGGGAGUUUUAUUUUCCCCAUCGACCUA
This 220-nucleotide small RNA is filed under the name Solanum talarense. RNAcentral describes it as "SprA". Lineage: Eukaryota; Viridiplantae; Streptophyta; Magnoliopsida; Solanales; Solanaceae. The record is from RNAcentral.